UGAAUUUCCUAAAAUGACAUUUGGCUUGC
This 29-nucleotide small RNA is filed under the name Bombyx mori (domestic silkworm). RNAcentral's name for it is "ovarian small RNA-31257". Lineage: Eukaryota; Metazoa; Arthropoda; Insecta; Lepidoptera; Bombycidae. The record is from RNAcentral.